This 497-nucleotide ribosomal RNA is filed under the name uncultured bacterium. Its description in RNAcentral is "partial 16S ribosomal RNA". It matches the Rfam family "Bacterial small subunit ribosomal RNA", at positions 28 to 507 of the family's 1533-position model. The record is from RNAcentral.
GAUGAACGCUGGCGGCGUGCCUAAUACAUGCAAGUCGAGCGAACAGACGAGGAGCUUGCUCCUCUGACGUUAGCGGCGGACGGGUGAGUAACACGUGGAUAACCUACCUAUAAGACUGGGAUAACUUCGGGAAACCGGAGCUAAUACCGGAUAAUAUAUUGAACCGCAUGGUUCAAUAGUGAAAGACGGUUUUGCUGUCACUUAUAGAUGGAUCCGCGCCGCAGUAGCUAGUUGGUAAGGUAACGGCUUACCAAGGCGACGAUGCGUAGCCGACCUGAGAGGGUGAUCGGCCACACUGGAACUGAGACACGGUCCAGACUCCUACGGGAGGCUGCAGUAGGGAAUCUUCCGCAAUGGGCGAAAGCCUGACGGAGCAACGCCGCGUGAGUGAUGAAGGUCUUCGGAUCGUAAAACUCUGUUAUUAGGGAAGAACAAAUGUGUAAGUAACUAUGCACGUCUUGACGGUACCUAAUCAGAAAGCCACGGCUAACUACGUG